AUAAUUUUUCUUUUGGAAAGAAUGUGUAAGUCUGCAUGUGUUAAAUUAAAAAAAAAAAUCUGUUCUUAUCAGUUUAAUAUCUGAUACGUCCUCCAUACGAGGAUUUUUAGAUUAGGGAGCAGGAACAGGGGCUUGCUCCAUCUGCUCCACGCAUCAACCUGGUAUUGCAGUACUUUCAAGAAUGGUGCACUUAUA
Small nuclear RNA from Clarias gariepinus (North African catfish), 195 nucleotides. RefSeq annotates it as U2 spliceosomal RNA. Lineage: Eukaryota; Metazoa; Chordata; Actinopteri; Siluriformes; Clariidae. The transcript has a single exon. The record is from RefSeq and is a predicted model, not a curated record.